AUACGGAGGGAACAAGCGUUAUUCGGAAUCACUGGGCGUAAAGGACGCGUAGGCGGGUUAUUAAGUCGGGUGUGAAAUCCAAUGGCUCAACCAUUGAACUGCAUUCGAAACUGAUAACCUAGAGUAUGGAAGGGGCAGGUGGAAUUAGUGGUGUAGGGGUAAAAUCCGUAGAUAUCACUAGGAAUACCGAAAGCGAAGGCGACCUGCUGGGACAUUACUGACGCUGAGGCGUGAAAGCGUGGGGAGCAAACAGGAUUAGAAACCCCGGUAGUCC
Molecule: ribosomal RNA, 274 nt
Filed under: uncultured bacterium
Lineage: Bacteria
Description: partial 16S ribosomal RNA
Rfam family: Bacterial small subunit ribosomal RNA
Source: RNAcentral